AUUGAACGCUGGCGGCAGGCCUAACACAUGCAAGUCGAGCGGAUGAAGGGAGCUUGCUCCUGGAUUCAGCGGCGGACGGGUGAGUAAUGCCUAGGAAUCUGCCUGGUAGUGGGGGAUAACGUCCGGAAACGGGCGCUAAUACCGCAUACGUCCUGAGGGAGAAAGUGGGGGAUCUUCGGACCUCACGCUAUCAGAUGAGCCUAGGUCGGAUUAGCUAGUUGGUGGGGUAAAGGCCUACCAAGGCGACGAUCCGUAACUGGUCUGAGAGGAUGAUCAGUCACACUGGGACUGAGACACGGUCCAGACUCCUACGGGAGGCAGCAGUGGGGAAUAUUGGACGAUGGGCGAAAGCCUGAUCCAGCCAUGCCGCGUGUGUGAAGAAGGUCUUCGGAUUGUAAAGCACUUUAAGUUGGGAGGAAGGGCAGUAAGUUAAUACCUUGCUGUUUUGACGUUACCAACAGAAUAAGCACCGGCUAACUUCGUGC
This 485-nucleotide ribosomal RNA is filed under the name uncultured bacterium. RNAcentral describes it as "partial 16S ribosomal RNA". It matches the Rfam family "Bacterial small subunit ribosomal RNA", at positions 30 to 508 of the family's 1533-position model. The record is from RNAcentral.